Molecule: ribosomal RNA, 497 nt
Filed under: uncultured bacterium
Lineage: Bacteria
Description: partial 16S ribosomal RNA
Rfam family: Bacterial small subunit ribosomal RNA
Source: RNAcentral
GAUGAACGCUGGCGGCGUGCCUAAUACAUGCAAGUCGAGCGAACAGACGAGGAGCUUGCUCCUCUGACGUUAGCGGCGGACGGGUGAGUAACACGUGGAUAACCUACCUAUAAGACUGGGAUAACUUCGGGAAACCGGAGCUAAUACCGGAUAAUAUAUUGAACCGCAUGGUUCAAUAGUGAAAGACGGUUUUGCUGUCACUUAUAGAUGGAUCCGCGCCGCAUUAGCUAGUUGGUAAGGUAACGGCUUACCAAGGCAACGAUGCGUAGCCGACCUGAGAGGGUGUUCGGCCCCACUGGAACUGGGACACGGUCCAGACUCCUACGGGAGGCAGCAGUAGGGAAUCUUCCGCAAUGGGCGAAAGCUUGACGGAGCAACGCCGCGUGAGUGAUGAAGGUCUUCGGAUCGUAAAACUCUGUUAUUAGGGAAGAACAAAUGUGUAAGUAACUAUGCACGUCUUGACGGUACCUAAUCAGAAAGCCACGGCUAACUACGUG